RNAcentral lists this ribosomal RNA (600 nucleotides) under Paraburkholderia sp. Its description in RNAcentral is "bacterial SSU rRNA". It matches the Rfam family "Bacterial small subunit ribosomal RNA", at positions 153 to 748 of the family's 1533-position model. The record is from RNAcentral. Lineage: Bacteria; Pseudomonadati; Pseudomonadota; Betaproteobacteria; Burkholderiales; Burkholderiaceae.
GAAAGCCGGAUUAAUACCGCAUACGCUCUACGGAGGAAAGGGGGGGAUCGCAAGACCUCCCGCUACAGGGGCGGCCGAUGGCAGAUUAGCUAGUUGGUGGGGUAAAGGCCUACCAAGGCGACGAUCUGUAGCUGGUCUGAGAGGACGACCAGCCACACUGGGACUGAGACACGGCCCAGACUCCUACGGGAGGCAGCAGUGGGGAAUUUUGGACAAUGGGGGAAACCCUGAUCCAGCAAUGCCGCGUGUGUGAAGAAGGCCUUCGGGUUGUAAAGCACUUUUGUCCGGAAAGAAAUCCUUUGAGCUAAUACCCUGUGGGGAUGACGGUACCGGAAGAAUAAGCACCGGCUAACUACGUGCCAGCAGCCGCGGUAAUACGUAGGGUGCAAGCGUUAAUCGGAAUUACUGGGCGUAAAGCGUGCGCAGGCGGUCCGCUAAGACAGAUGUGAAAUCCCCGGGCUUAACCUGGGAACUGCAUUUGUGACUGGCGGGCUAGAGUAUGGCAGAGGGGGGUAGAAUUCCACGUGUAGCAGUGAAAUGCGUAGAGAUGUGGAGGAAUACCGAUGGCGAAGGCAGCCCCCUGGGCCAAUACUGACGCUC